CCUACGAGGAGCAGCAGUGAGGAAUAUUGGUCAAUGGCCGAGAGGCUGAACCAGCCAAGUCGCGUGAGGGAAGACGGCCCUACGGGUUGUAAACCUCUUUUGGCGGGGAGCAAAGCGAACCACGUGAGGGUCAUUGAGAGUACCCGAAGAAAAAGCAUCGGCUACCUCCGUGCCAGCAGACGCGGUAAUACGGAGGAUUCGAGCGUUAUCCGGUUUUAUUGGGUUUAAAGGGUGCGCAGGCGGAGGUGCAAGUCAGCGGUCAAAUUGCGGGGCUCAACCCCGUACUGCCGUUGAAACUGCAGCCCUUGAGUGCGCGAGAAGUAUGCGGAGUGCGUGGUGUAGCGGUGAAAUGCAUAGAUAUCACGCAGAACUCCGAUUGCGAAGGCAGCAUACCGGCGCGCAACUGACGCUCAUGCACGAAAGCGUGGGUAUCGAACAGGAUUAGAGACCCCAGUAGUC
This 459-nucleotide ribosomal RNA is filed under the name uncultured bacterium. RNAcentral describes it as "partial 16S ribosomal RNA". It matches the Rfam family "Bacterial small subunit ribosomal RNA", at positions 338 to 795 of the family's 1533-position model. The record is from RNAcentral.